Patella vulgata (common limpet) is the source of this 547-nucleotide long non-coding RNA. RefSeq lists it as uncharacterized. Lineage: Eukaryota; Metazoa; Mollusca; Gastropoda; Patellidae. The transcript is spliced from 2 exons. The record is from RefSeq and is a predicted model, not a curated record.
UUAGCCUGAUAAUGUGAAUUGGAUUAAAUAUUUAUUCAUUUGUGCCUCACUCCAAACAAAUGUUGUGAUCUUCGCUCAUCAUUUAUUAUUGAUAUAAAAAGAAAUGUCAUAAAUAAUGCAACAGGGAGAGUUGUAAAAUGACGAAGAACUGGAAGCGACGACGUCGACUGGCUGCCAGCACAGUACAAUUUACAAACUGCGCACUGUCUUUAUAAACAGACCAAUAAUACAAAAGCCAUUGUAUUUAAUUUUAUGAAGAACUUUCAUUUGAUGUGAACAAGGAAUUUCUAACAUGGAAGAAGGACAAUAAAAUAUAAUUCCUAAAUAACCACCCGCACUGAGUGUUGAUUCAUCCCUAAAUCCUAACUUUAAAAUAGUUGUUGCACUGAAUGAAAAGCAGGCUGUUAUGCGAGUGCCUGAAAGACUUUGAAAUAUAUUUCUUGUGAAAAAUUGGAAUAGACUCAGCUAUCAACUGACUGUACAUUAUACACUUUCAGUUACACAUUCUAUUUUUUGGAAAUAAUUUUAAUAAAUAUAAUGAAUGAAA